Molecule: ribosomal RNA, 496 nt
Filed under: uncultured bacterium
Lineage: Bacteria
Description: bacterial SSU rRNA
Rfam family: Bacterial small subunit ribosomal RNA
Source: RNAcentral
UCAGGACGAACGCUGGCGGCGGGCUAACACAUGCAAGUCGAACGAGAAUCCCGAGCUUGCUUGGGAGGAAAGUGGCGCACGGGUGAGUAACGCGUAGGCAAUCUGCCCCCAACUGAGGAAUAACCCAUCGAAAGGUGGGCUAAUACCACAUAACGACGGACGACCGCAUGGUCGACCGUCCAAAGUUCAGGCGGUUGGGGAUGAGCCUGCGUCGGAUUAGCUAGUUGGCGGGGUAAUGGCCCACCAAGGCGACGAUCCGUAGCGGGUCUGAGAGGAUGAUCCGCCACACUGGCACUGAGACACGGGCCAGACUCCUACGGGAGGCAGCAGUGAGGAAUAUUGCGCAAUGGAGGAAACUCUGACGCAGCCAACCGCCGCGUGCAGGAAGACACCCCUCAGGGGCGUAAACUGCUUUUAUACGGGAAGAACACCUGGUUCUGCCAGGUCUGACGGUACCGUACGAAUAAGGACCGGCUAACUCCGUGCCAGCAGCUGC